Molecule: ribosomal RNA, 424 nt
Filed under: uncultured bacterium
Lineage: Bacteria
Description: bacterial SSU rRNA
Rfam family: Bacterial small subunit ribosomal RNA
Source: RNAcentral
GCAGCAGCCGCGGUAAUACGGAGGUUGCAAGCGUUGUUCGGAAUAACUGGGCGUAAAGGGAGCGCAGGCGGUUCGGUAAGUCUAAAGUGGAAGCCCGGGGCUUAACCUCGGAAGUGCUUUAGAUACUGCCGCACUCGAGUUCGUGAGAGGAGAGCGGAAUUCCAGGUGUAGCGGUGAAAUGCGUAGAUAUCUGGAGGAACACCGGUGGCGAAAGCGGCUCUCUGGCACGAUACUGACGCUGAGGCUCGAAAGCAUGGGUAGCGAACAGGAUUAGAUACCCUGGUAGUCCAUGCUGUAAACGUUGUGCACUAGGUGUGGGAGGUAUCGACCCCUUCCGUGCCGCAGCUAACGCAUUAAGUGCACCGCCUGGGGAGUACGGUCGCAAGACUGAAACUCAAAGGAAUUGACGGGGGCCCGCACAAGC